CUCAACCCCUUCCCCCCAUCAAUCUUCACACCAAGCAAAGCCCAUAGCUGUUAAUAAACACAACAAAAAUCUCAGCUAGCUAGCUUUUCCCCUCCAUUAAAAUCCAUGGCUUCCACCAUUAGCAAGAAGAUGACCUUGGCUAUCCUUGCUCUCGCACUAUUCUCCUCUUGCUUACAUGCCACACUAGGGGAAAUAAUAUGUGAACACCUUGACCAAGACACCUGUGCUUACGCGGUGGCGUCCACAGGCAAGCGCUGUGUGCUCGAGAAGCACGUCAAGAGGAGCGGUGAAGAAGAAUACACUUGCCGUACCUCCGAGAUCGAAGCCGAUAAGAUCAACAACUGGAUCGAAACUGAUCAGUGCGUUAAAUCGUGCGGCCUCGACCGGAAAUCAUUCGGUAUCUCCUCCGAUUCCCUCCUCGAGUCUCGCUUCACCGAAAUGCUUUGCUCUCCUCAAUGCUACAACGGUUGCCCCAACAUCAUCGAUCUUUACUUCAACCUCGCCGCCGGAGAAGGUAUUUUUCUUCCGAAAUUAUGUGAAGCACAAAAAGGAAACAUACGUAGAGGAAUGUCGGAGAUUUGGAGCUCCGGUAUGGUUGCCCCGGGACCCGUCGGCGGUGUGAAGUUUUGGGGAGUUGCUCCGGCAAUGGCCCCAUACUAAAAGCUUUCGGGAAAUUUUCAUAAAGUUGUAGUAGUUUUGAAAUAAAGGGAAAGUUGCACUAUAGCUAAGGGUUUUUCUUAAAGCCGGGUUCUUUAAGUGCAUGAACCGGCGUAUAAUUUGGUUCGUGCAUAAUUUUGAGCCAUGAGCUUGGUGUGUUCAACCCAAUAAGAUGCCACUUUCUAUUAAAUAGGUUUGCUUAUUGUAAUGGGUGUGAAAAAGAAACAAUGUUAUGAAUUUUAUAUAAGUAUACUUAUAUUUGUGUGAUUUAUUCUAAAUUUGCAAC
Gossypium raimondii (Peruvian cotton) is the source of this 943-nucleotide RNA transcript. RefSeq lists it as uncharacterized. NCBI's taxonomy places the organism in Eukaryota, Viridiplantae, Streptophyta, Magnoliopsida, Malvales, Malvaceae. The record is from RefSeq and is a predicted model, not a curated record. The transcript has 4 exons.